GUGGCUGUGGCUCAGUGGUACAGCGCUUGCCUAGCAUGUGCGAGGCCCUGGGUUUGAUCCUCAGCACUACA
Molecule: transfer RNA, 71 nt
Filed under: Marmota monax (woodchuck)
Lineage: Eukaryota; Metazoa; Chordata; Mammalia; Rodentia; Sciuridae
Description: tRNA.Ala
Source: RNAcentral